RNAcentral lists this long non-coding RNA (365 nucleotides) under Citrus maxima (pomelo). RNAcentral's name for it is "long non-coding RNA (CMAX_LNC002337)". The record is from RNAcentral. Lineage: Eukaryota; Viridiplantae; Streptophyta; Magnoliopsida; Sapindales; Rutaceae.
GGAUAUCAAUUAGGCCAUAAUAAGAAGAGAAAAAACAUGAGAGGAUUUUGGGAGGGUGGCUUACACUGAGAGAGUGAGAGAAGCAAUUGGAAAAGUGAGGAAACUGCGGUUGUGCAAAAAGUUGGGAUAAUUAGGGGCAAAAGUAUGGUGCCCGCUUCUUCUUCUUCUUAUUGGCAGUAUAAUUAAAAUUGUUUAAGGCUUUUGGCCCCUUUCUUUUGUAGCCUUUUUUUUUUUUAACUAUUAUCAAUUUAUCGUUUUUGUUUGGGUAGCAUUCUUAAAAUGCUACAUUACCUUAUAUGAUACAUAGCAUUUAGAAAUAUGUUACUAAUAGGAUGAUAAAUGUGAUAAAAAGUAAAAUAUUAUCA